RNAcentral lists this transfer RNA (27 nucleotides) under Agama etoshae. RNAcentral's name for it is "partial tRNA-Leu". The record is from RNAcentral. Lineage: Eukaryota; Metazoa; Chordata; Lepidosauria; Squamata; Agamidae.
ACUUUUAAUGGACAGUUAGUAGUCCGA